CACGGGUUGCGAGCGUUGUCCCGGAAUUACCUAGGCGUAAAGGGCAGGCAGGCGGAUCCAUAAGUUUAUCGUUUAAGGCGUCGGCUUAACCGGCGUAGGGCGGUAGAUACUGUGGAUCUGGAAUGCGGUUGGGGAAGACAGAAUUCCUGGUGUAGCGGUGGAAUGCGCAGAGAUCAGGAGGAAUACCGAAGGCGAAGGCAGUCUUCCAAGCCGUUAUUGACGCUCAACUGCGAAGGUGUGGGUAUCAAACAGGAUUAGAUACCUCCGUAGUCCCUGA
This 277-nucleotide ribosomal RNA is filed under the name uncultured prokaryote. RNAcentral's name for it is "partial 16S ribosomal RNA". It matches the Rfam family "Bacterial small subunit ribosomal RNA", at positions 526 to 800 of the family's 1533-position model. The record is from RNAcentral.